Molecule: ribosomal RNA, 550 nt
Filed under: uncultured bacterium
Lineage: Bacteria
Description: bacterial SSU rRNA
Rfam family: Bacterial small subunit ribosomal RNA
Source: RNAcentral
UAGGGAAUCUUCGGCAAUGGACGGAANUCUGGACCGAGCAACGCCGCGUGAGUGAAGAAGGUUUUCGGAUCGUAAAGCUCUGUUGUAAGAGAAGAACGAGUGUGAGAGUGGAAAGUUCACACUGUGACGGUAUCUUACCAGAAAGGGACGGCUAACUACGUGCCAGCAGCCGCGGUAAUACGUAGGUCCCGAGCGUUGUCCGGAUUUAUUGGGCGUAAAGCGAGCGCAGGCGGUUAGAUAAGUCUGAAGUUAAAGGCUGUGGCUUAACCAUAGUACGCUUUGGAAACUGUUUAACUUGAGUGCAAGAGGGGAGAGUGGAAUUCCAUGUGUAGCGGUGAAAUGCGUAGAUAUAUGGAGGAACACCGGUGGCGAAAGCGGCUCUCUGGCUUGUAACUGACGCUGAGGCUCGAAAGCGUGGGGAGCAAACAGGAUUAGAUACCCUGGUAGUCCACGCCGUAAACGAUGAGUGCUAGGUGUUAGACCCUUUCCGGGGUUUAGUGCCGCAGCUAACGCAUUAAGCACUCCGCCUGGGGAGUACGACCGCAAGUUG